Molecule: long non-coding RNA, 237 nt
Filed under: Ananas comosus (pineapple)
Lineage: Eukaryota; Viridiplantae; Streptophyta; Magnoliopsida; Poales; Bromeliaceae
Description: long non-coding RNA (ACOM_LNC042437)
Source: RNAcentral
AAGUGUAUCGGUACAGGUUAUGGUGUCACUGGUAACACGAUUGUGCAGAGGCAAAGCCGAGAGCUGCUGUUCGGGUUUUACAAAAGUGUACCGGUACAGCCCUGAUGUUGUACCGGUACAAAAUGCCCAGACUUCAGAUUUUUGAAUCUUUUCGAUUCUAAUUCGCGCCGAUCAACGCUAAAACCUUUCCAACUCGUUUAAACUCACUUUUAACCUUUCCAACCUUGUUGGAACGUU